Molecule: transfer RNA, 93 nt
Filed under: Microvirga sp. HBU67558
Lineage: Bacteria; Pseudomonadati; Pseudomonadota; Alphaproteobacteria; Hyphomicrobiales; Methylobacteriaceae
Description: tRNA-Arg
Source: RNAcentral
GCAUUCCGGUCAAUUCGGGUAAAUCAAGGAAAUGAGUGGACGACUGCCCUCCGAAGGCAAAGGUCACACGUUCGAAUCGUGUCGGGUGCGCCA